Molecule: non-coding RNA, 71 nt
Organism: Trichechus manatus latirostris (Florida manatee)
Lineage: Eukaryota; Metazoa; Chordata; Mammalia; Sirenia; Trichechidae
Source: the annotation of a RefSeq genome assembly
GUAUGGGUGGUUCAGUGGCAGAGUUCUUGCCUUCUAUGCAAGGUACCCAGGUUCGAUUCCUGGCCAAUGCA